AUUGAACGCUGGCGGCAGGCCUAACACAUGCAAGUCGAGCGGAUGAAGGGAGCUUGCUCCUGGAUUCAGCGGCGGACGGGUGAGUAAUGCCUAGGAAUCUGCCCGGUAGUGGGGGAUAACGUCCGGAAACGGGCGCUAAUACCGCAUACGUCCUGAGGGAGAAAGUGGGGGAUCUUCGGACCUCACGCUAUCAGAUGAGCCUAGGUCGGAUUAGCUAGUUGGUGGGGUAAAGGCCUACCAAGGCGACGAUCCGUAACUGGUCUGAGAGGAUGAUCAGUCACACUGGAACUGAGACACGGUCCAGACUCCUACGGGAGGCAGCAGUGGGGAAUAUUGGGCAAUGGGCGAAAGCCUGAUCCAGCCAUGCCGCGUGUGUGAAGAAGGUCUUCGGAUUGUAAAGCACUUUAAGUUGGGAGGAAGGGCAGUAAGUUAAUACCUUGCUGUUUUGACGUUACCAACAGAAUAAGCACCGGCUAACUUCGUG
Molecule: ribosomal RNA, 484 nt
Filed under: uncultured bacterium
Lineage: Bacteria
Description: partial 16S ribosomal RNA
Rfam family: Bacterial small subunit ribosomal RNA
Source: RNAcentral